UCUAGGUAGAGCUGGUGCUCAAGACAGAAGUCAGCUCUUGCUGUGAGCACAGUGCUGGUGCGAGGGACCCGGCGGGGAGCCAACAGCCCCCACGCUGCCCCGAGAUUGGUGUGGGUGGACAGGAUGAGCUCCAUGGGACAAUGGCUAGGUGGCUAUUUGCUCUCUGCUUAUUUUUCUUUUCGAGGUAGGGAAGCAGAGACGGGGGCAGGAACUGUGGUGGGUUUUCUGCACCAGACCUCUUCCGUCUGGUUCAGAGAUGAUUUGUCUGCACUGACUUCUUGUAAGCCUCGAGGUUCUGUACUGCACAGCCCUUACUGUUGUAAUGGCGAGAGUAAUCUCAGUGAUAAGGAGCCUUUGUGGGAAAAUAGAAGAGCUCAGUUUCUUCAUCUUUUUGGCCAUAAAGGCAAGGCAAAAUUUCAGCUGUCAGUUGAGUCAGUUAAAAUUUCUACAGAGCACACUGGGAGCUGUACCAAUGGAGCGCAUUCAGUGGUCUGCAACCAGAUAAAUAAUCUCUCAAGUCUGUCCAGCUUGACCUUGGAUAACUGGAGAUCAAAAAGAGAUCCACAAAGAGCUGUUAACACUGCACAAGUUUUAUUCUCUGAAGUUCUGGAAGUCCUUGUACAAACAAAAUUGAGCUACAGCGGAGCAGAUUUCAAUAAGGAAGAGCUUGUCAUAGGGGUUGUGCCUGGAGCAGGGCUCCACAGCUCUACACAGCACGCUUUAUUAACUACCUAGAGAGCAAAGCCAAGCCUUCUGACUUAAUGAAUGGCUGGUGCCACGGAAGGGCGGUGUGUGUCAGCGCAGGGAGGAAUGCUGCUGAGAGCACGGCGUGUGUGAAGGCUUGCUCUUCUGCCUCUCCCUUCUCUGCACAUCAUAGUCACUAGGGGCAGAAAUGUGUUUUAUCGUUUUUGUUAUUGAAGAAAUCAACCCAGGCUCUGACUUGAGGCAAAUCUUGCACAGGAGACAGGACUGUCUUGUCUUUACUUACGUUUACAGAUCCAAGAGGAUCCCUGAGGACAAGAGCAGAUUGGGGGCGCACGGUGGGAGACUUGUGCAGUGGUUCCUUGCCUUGAGCGUGGCAUUGCGCUGUGCUGGAUGCAAAUCCAGAGCUUGCUCAGGAUAAAGGGAGCUUACAGCAUGUCCUGCCCCUAAAACAGGAGCACCACCCUGCUCUCUUAUCUCACCCUACACGCACAGGAUCAAAGCUUGCUCUUAAAUGCAGGGCUGCAGUACAGCUCUUGCCACUGACACUUCUCCUUUUGCUGUUCCACUCUGGCAUUUUCACCUGAAUAGCUGAGAGAGAGACAAUCAGUAUUUUAAAAGCCUACAUUUUUCUUCCCAUUGAAGUAAGCUUGGAAAUAGACUUGCUUUUUAGGUGUACCCUUACGGGUACAGUCAUAUGAGGGAACCUCUCCUGUGUUGUGACAAUUCCUUUGGUUAUCUGGACUGCCAUUUUGGUUUUAUUUGCACAGCCCACACUUAUUACUGGUUUUCAGUAACAAAUAUGGGAAGAGGCAUGCGGUCCCUUGAUGUUAAUGAUGAGGUAAUGACUUUUACAGUAAUCAUUUUCUCUGUAUCAGCUUGGGCUGGGGGGCGAGCCUUUAUCCUGAGCAAAUGAGUAAAUGAUAAGCAAAUUUCAUGGAACACCCCUGCAGCCAAAACCUCUCCGACUUGCUUCUGUAGAAUUUACCCUGUCAGGCCCAGUUUAGCAUGUGCUGAAGUGAUGGUUGCAACAUUUGAUUGCUGACCUUGUCUCAGAAGCUGACUGUGAGCUUUAGAGCAAUCUGUUUUACACCCCUUGAAAGCCAAGCGGCUACAGGACGAUUUUAACGUUUUUCUUACAUUUCUGAAUGUGGAUGAAAGCCUACAAUUUUGACCUCACUAUCUACGAGAGAAUUAAGGAUAUGAAGGCAUAGCACAAUGCCUACGAGUAUUUAAUUUCAUAUUUUUAUAACGUGGUCUCUUGUCUUUUUGGGGAAAUGGAAUUUAUGUGGGACUUUUUUCAAUAUUAGAGAUUGACAACGUGGUAUUUUACAGAUCACUGGAGUAAUAGCCCUGUUCCCUUUUUAGGUCUUUGAGCACUGAAAUAGUUGGCGUGGAUACUUAUUACAGAAGCAGAACUGGACAGUAGUUCAUGCGUUAUUGCUUCGAGCUCUUUGCCAGCUCAGGAAUCUGCCUCUUGUAGACAUUUAAAACAAACAAAAAGCUGAUGGAAAUAGAUAAUAAACCUGGUGCCAGACUGAAUAAAAACAAGAGCUCUGUGUCUAUAGCAAAACACCCAGUAAAUAUCUGGAAGCAUCACACAUCAGCAGUCUAGGAAACGUAUUACAACCUGCGGAAGAAAAAAAGUAUGAAUCUGUAUCAGUGAAGACGGUAUAUCUUACACAUCAGUGAGACCUGGUCGUGUGCAGAGGUGCUGGUUAUAGACUGCUUUGGUUUGCAGUCAGAGGCUGUCUGUUUUGAAUAUAAAUAUGAGAACUGUGGAGCAUUCCCACAAGCGUAUUUUUGAGAGGAAAUGACAUGGGUGGUGUGUAUUGAAAACAAAAACUUGAGCAUCUUUUGAAAUGUUUACAGGUUUAUUUAUCUAAAGGGAAACAGAAUACAUCAGGAAAUAUCUUAGCUCUUCCCUGUCCUUUUAUACUUAUUAAAAGAGAAGGAACAGUAAUAAGAAGAAGAUCUGACAUGCAGAUAUUAAAAAUCAUAAGCACUCAUUAAAGCGUUUGGAGCAUUUUUAACCAGCUC
Molecule: non-coding RNA, 2742 nt
Organism: Anas platyrhynchos (mallard)
Lineage: Eukaryota; Metazoa; Chordata; Aves; Anseriformes; Anatidae
Source: RefSeq, a predicted model, not a curated record